UACGUAGGGGGCAAGCGUUGUUCGGAAUCAUUGGGCGUAAAGAGCGUGUAGGCGGCCAGAAAAGUCCGCUGUGAAAACUCGAGGCUCAACUUCGAGCUGUCGGUGGAAACUUUCUGGCUAGAGUCCGGAAGAGGAGAAUGGAAUUCCUGGUGUAGCGGUGAAAUGCGCAGAUAUCAGGAAGAACACCCGUGGCGAAGGCGGUUCUCUGGGACGGUACUGACGCUGAGACGCGAAAGCGUGGGGAGCGAACAGG
This 253-nucleotide ribosomal RNA is filed under the name uncultured bacterium. RNAcentral describes it as "partial 16S ribosomal RNA". It matches the Rfam family "Bacterial small subunit ribosomal RNA", at positions 524 to 776 of the family's 1533-position model. The record is from RNAcentral.